CUGAAUAAACAAUACGAUCAUUGUUGUUCUGCGGUGUGCAUGUUGUGUCGACAAUUUGUGUUUGCGUUUCUCUGUGAUGGGUGUUAUUGUGUGUGUUUGGGCUGCAUUUCUGUCACGUAGUGUUGUCAUUUCAUCGAUAUUUUUCUCAUUUUCACAUAAGCGGGAUGAGUGGCUUGCCAUACAAAAAGGUUGAACCCAUCAUUUUGUUCUUAAAAUAUCCUGUACCAAGUCCGGAAUAUGACAAUUCCUUUCUAUGUAUGUUGGCGUUUGUAUUUGUUGCACUUAAGAGUUCCGUUGUUCUGUUGUUUUCCUCUUGUAGUUGAUGUGUUUCUCUCUGUUUUAGUUUGUAACUCGAAUUUUCUUUCAAUCGAUUUAUGACUUUCGAACAGCUGUAUGCUUCUGUUGUCUUUGUUUAUUCAAUAUAAAAUUUAAAGUUAUCCAUAUGAUAUCCUUUCUUAAAAUUAUUUAUAUUUAAGUAUUUAAAAAUAUGAAAAUAAUCUCGGUCCAACCAUUCUCAUAUUUU
This 523-nucleotide long non-coding RNA is filed under the name Mytilus galloprovincialis (Mediterranean mussel). Lineage: Eukaryota; Metazoa; Mollusca; Bivalvia; Mytilida; Mytilidae. The record is from RNAcentral.